AACGGAAAGGCCCUUCGGGGUACUCGAGUGGCGAACGGGUGAGUAACACGUGGGUGAUCUGCCCUGCACUUUGGGAUAAGCCUGGGAAACUGGGUCUAAUACCGAAUACACCCUGCUGGCCGCAUGGUCUGGUGGGGGAAAGCUUUUGCGGUGUGGGAUGGGCCCGCGGCCUAUCAGCUUGUUGGUGGGGUGAUGGCCUACCAAGGCGACGACGGGUAGCCGGCCUGAGAGGGUGACCGGCCACACUGGGACUGAGAUACGGCCCAGACUCCUACGGGAGGCAGCAGUGGGGAAUAUUGCACAAUGGGCGCAAGCCUGAUGCAGCGACGCCGCGUGGGGGAUGACGGCCUUCGGGUUGUAAACCCCUUUCAGCACAGACGAAGCGCGAGUGACGGUAUGUGCAGAAGAAGGACCGGCCAACUACGUGCCAGCAGCCGCGGUAAUACGUAGGGUCCGAGCGUUGUCCGGAAUUACUGGGCGUAAAGAGCUCGUAGGUGGUUUGUCGCGUUGUUCGUGAAAACUCACAGCUCAACUGUGGGCGUGCGGGCGAUACGGGCAGACUGGAGUACUGCAGGGGAGACUGGAAUUCCUGGUGUAGCGGUGGAAUGCGCAGAUAUCAGGAGGAACACCGGUGGCGAAGGCGGGUCUCUGGGCAGUAACUGACGCUGAGGAGCGAAAGCGUGGGGAGCGAACAGGAUUAGAUACCCUGGUAGUCCACGCCGUAAACGGUGGG
This 733-nucleotide ribosomal RNA is filed under the name Mycobacterium sp. GP0203. RNAcentral's name for it is "bacterial SSU rRNA". It matches the Rfam family "Bacterial small subunit ribosomal RNA", at positions 65 to 813 of the family's 1533-position model. Lineage: Bacteria; Bacillati; Actinomycetota; Actinomycetes; Mycobacteriales; Mycobacteriaceae. The record is from RNAcentral.